Molecule: ribosomal RNA, 615 nt
Filed under: uncultured Gammaproteobacteria bacterium
Lineage: Bacteria; Pseudomonadati; Pseudomonadota; Gammaproteobacteria
Description: bacterial SSU rRNA
Rfam family: Bacterial small subunit ribosomal RNA
Source: RNAcentral
CAAACAGGAUUAGAUACCCUGGUAGUCCACGCUGUAAACGAUGUCUACUAGCCGUCGGGGUCCUUAGUGACUUUGGUGGCGCAGCUAACGCGAUAAGUAGACCGCCUGGGGAGUACGGCCGCAAGGUUAAAACUCAAAUGAAUUGACGGGGGCCCGCACAAGCGGUGGAGCAUGUGGUUUAAUUCGAUGCAACGCGAAGAACCUUACCGGGUCUUGACAUCCUCGGAACUUGGCAGAGAUGCCUUGGUGCCUUCGGGAGCCGAGUGACAGGUGCUGCAUGGCCGUCGUCAGCUCGUGUCGUGAGAUGUUGGGUUAAGUCCCGUAACGAGCGCAACCCUUGUCCUUAGUUGCCAGCACGUCAUGGUGGGAACUCUAGGGAGACUGCCGGUGACAAACCGGAGGAAGGUGGGGACGACGUCAGGUCAUCAUGGCCCUUACGACCUGGGCUACACACGUGCUACAAUGGCUGGUACAGAGGGUUGCUAAGUCGCGAGGCGGAGCUAAUCCCUUAAAGCCAGUCGUAGUCCGGAUCGGAGUCUGCAACUCGACUCCGUGAAGUCGGAAUCGCUAGUAAUCGCGGAUCAGAAUGCCGCGGUGAAUACGUUCCCGGGCCUU